ACACGCUCAGCUCCCUCCUCCUCGCGUUAUCCUCUCAUCUCCUCUGUAUCCUGACCACACAGUAAUCCCCAAAUCACGCCGGCGACAGCUCCGAUUCCAAAGCACAGCGCCGCCCCUUCCUCCGGUGCUCCCAUGGCGCGGCUUCUUCCUCAAGCCGCCCGGCGCUGCUUCGCCGGUGGCGCAGCCGCGGGAGUCCUUCGUGCGGGGGUCCAGGCCUUUCUCGAUGAUGCAGCCGGUGUCGGGGAGGAGUCGCGCGGGGUCACGCCGGGGGUAAAGGACCUGGCCCAGGUGGUUCUCGACGAGCCGUGUGCAUAGGGGAGCAGGAUCCGUCUUCUAGCAGAGGAAAAACGAGAAGGGUGUGGAGAGCGAGGUCGCUGCCGGAGCUCUGCCGGAGCGAGGUUGAUUUGGUGUUGCGUUUUCAGGUCCGGGUAUUGGGUUGCUGGAGGAAGGGAGGAGGCGUUGGCACAGUGCUGCAGCUUGGUCAAUAUUGAUUCACUUCUCAGGGCAGCCACCACAUGCAAUGGUCUAUGCCACUCCUGAGCGUAUGGGAUGCAUCAAUCGGUCAACAGCUCUGUGACCGCAGUGGGAAGCUAUGUACAGGGAUCUAGAUGAAUAGUCAAGUGAUGUCCCUGUUGAUGACAGAGCUGGUCAGCUGCUCACGUGAAGAAUCUCUGCUGCUCACAUGGAGGCACUUUUUUUCUUUCUUUUGCCGAUGGAGGCACCGGGUGAAGCACCCGUGACUUUUCGGGAGCGGUUAUUUCUUCGAAGCACCGGCUGGCACCGGAAGCAAAUGUUUGCUUCUCCCCCCCUUUCUAAGCACCCGUGCAGUCCAAUCUUGAAAAAAAAACCGGGUUUUUUUCUCUGGCACCUGUCUAAGCACCUGCCGUUGUACAGGGCCUUAGAGCUUCUCCAACAGGCGUCCAACGGGCGGC
Molecule: long non-coding RNA, 932 nt
Organism: Triticum aestivum (bread wheat)
Lineage: Eukaryota; Viridiplantae; Streptophyta; Magnoliopsida; Poales; Poaceae
Exons: 5
Source: RefSeq, a predicted model, not a curated record